GACGAACGCUGGCGACGUGCUUAACACAUGCAAGUCGAACGGAAAGGCCCUGCUCUUGUGGGGUGCUCGAGUGGCGAACGGGUGAGUAACACGCGAGUAACCUGCCCUUGUCUUUGGGAUAAAUUCAGGAAAAUGGGGCUAAUACCGGAUAGGAGCUUCUGCUGCAUGGUGGGGGUAGGAAAGUUUCGGCGGUUGGGGAUGGACUCGCGGCUUAUGCGCUUGUUGGUGGGGUAGUGGAUUACCAAGGCUUUGAAGGGUAGCCGGCCUUGGAGGCUGACCGGCCACAUUGGGACUGAGAGACGGCGCAGACUCCUACGGGAGGCAGCAGUGGGGAAUAUUGCGCAGUGGGCGGAAGCCUGAUACAGCAACGCCGCGUUCGGGAUGACGUCCUUCUGGUGGAAAACCGCUUUCGCCUGUGACGAAGCGUGAGUGACGGUAAUGGGUAAGGAAGCACCGGCUAACUACGUG
This 468-nucleotide ribosomal RNA is filed under the name uncultured bacterium. RNAcentral's name for it is "partial 16S ribosomal RNA". It matches the Rfam family "Bacterial small subunit ribosomal RNA", at positions 28 to 507 of the family's 1533-position model. The record is from RNAcentral.